GGACCAUUAGCUCAGUGGAUAGAGUCGCAGACUUCGAAUCUGUUGGUCGGGGGUUCGAAUCCCUCAUGGUUCA
Molecule: transfer RNA, 73 nt
Filed under: Sedimentibacter hydroxybenzoicus DSM 7310
Lineage: Bacteria; Bacillati; Bacillota; Tissierellia
Rfam family: tRNA
About the family: Transfer RNA (tRNA) molecules are approximately 80 nucleotides in length. Their secondary structure includes four short double-helical elements and three loops (D, anti-codon, and T loops).
Source: Rfam by way of RNAcentral